GAUGAACGCUGGCGGCGUGCCUAAUACAUGCAAGUCGAGCGAACAGACGAGGAGCUUGCUCCUCUGACGUUAGCGGCGGACGGGUGAGUCACACGUGGAUAACCUCCCUAUCAGACUGGGAAAACUUCGGGAAACCGGAGCUAAUACCGGAUAAUAUCUUGAACCGCAUGGUUGAAUAGUGAAAGACGGUUUUGCUGUCACUUAUAGAUGGAUCCGCGCCGCUUUAGCGAGUUGGUAAGUUAACGGGUCAUCAAGGGAACGCGGCGUAGGCGAGCUGAGAGGGUGAUCGCCGACCCUGGAACUGAGCCACGGACCAGACGCCUGCGGGAGGCCGCAGUAUGGAAUCGUCCGCAGUGGGCGAGAGCCUGACGGAGCGACGCCGCGUGAGUGAUGGAGGCCUUCGGUGCGGAAAACUGUGUUAUUAGUUAAGAACAAAUUUGUAAUUAACUAUGCACGUCUUGACGGUACCUAAUCAGGAAGCCCCGGCUAACUACGUG
This 497-nucleotide ribosomal RNA is filed under the name uncultured bacterium. RNAcentral describes it as "partial 16S ribosomal RNA". It matches the Rfam family "Bacterial small subunit ribosomal RNA", at positions 28 to 507 of the family's 1533-position model. The record is from RNAcentral.